RNAcentral lists this ribosomal RNA (786 nucleotides) under uncultured bacterium. Its description in RNAcentral is "bacterial SSU rRNA". It matches the Rfam family "Bacterial small subunit ribosomal RNA", at positions 636 to 1422 of the family's 1533-position model. The record is from RNAcentral.
UNUGACUUGAGUGCAGAAGGGGAGAGUGGAAUUCCAUGUGUAGCGGUGAAAUGCGUAGAUAUAUGGAGGAACACCAGUGGCGAAAGCGGCUCUCUGGUCUGUCACUGACGCUGAGGCUCGAAAGCGUGGGUAGCGAACAGGAUUAGAUACCCUGGUAGUCCACGCCGUAAACGAUGAGUGCUAGGUGUUAGGCCCUUUCCGGGGCUUAGUGCCGGAGCUAACGCAAUAAGCACUCCGCCUGGGGAGUACGACCGCAAGGUUGAAACUCAAAGGAAUUGUCGGGGGCCCGCACAAGCGGUGGAGCAUGUGGUUUAAUUCGAAGCAACGCGAAGAACCUUACCAGGUCUUGACAUCCCGAUGCUAUUCUUAGAGAUAGGAAGUUACUUCGGUACAUCGGAGACAGGUGGUGCAUGGUUGUCGUCAGCUCGUGUCGUGAGAUGUUGGGUUAAGUCCCGCAACGAGCGCAACCCUUAUUGUUAGUUGCCAUCAUUAAGUUGGGCACUCUAGCGAGACUGCCGGUAAUAAACCGGAGGAAGGUGGGGAUGACGUCAAAUCAUCAUGCCCCUUAUGACCUGGGCUACACACGUGCUACAAUGGUCGGUACAACGAGUUGCGAGCCGGUGACGGCAAGCUAAUCUCUGAAAGCCGAUCUCAGUUCGGAUUGGAGGCUGCAACUCGCCUCCAUGAAGUCGGAAUCGCUAGUAAUCGCGGAUCAGCACGCCGCGGUGAAUACGUUCCCGGGCCUUGUACACACCGCCCGUCACACCACGAGAGUUUGUANCACUC